RNAcentral lists this ribosomal RNA (1721 nucleotides) under Campylobacter jejuni. RNAcentral's name for it is "partial 23S ribosomal RNA". It matches the Rfam family "Bacterial large subunit ribosomal RNA", at positions 1223 to 2925 of the family's 2925-position model. The record is from RNAcentral. Lineage: Bacteria; Pseudomonadati; Campylobacterota; Epsilonproteobacteria; Campylobacterales; Campylobacteraceae.
AAGUGGUAGGAGAGCGUUCUAUUUGCGUCGAAGGUAUACCGGUAAGGAGUGCUGGAGCGAAUAGAAGUGAGCAUGCAGGCAUGAGUAGCGAUAAUUAAUGUGAGAAUCAUUAACGCCGUAAACCCAAGGUUUCCUACGCGAUGCUCGUCAUCGUAGGGUUAGUCGGGUCCUAAGUCGAGUCCGAAAGGGGUAGACGAUGGCAAAUUGGUUAAUAUUCCAAUACCAACAUUAGUGUGCGAUGGAAGGACGCUUAGGGCUAAGGGGGCUAGCGGAUGGAAGUGCUAGUCUAAGGUCGUAGGAGGUUAUACAGGCAAAUCCGUAUAACAAUACUCCGAGAACUGAAAGGCUUUUUGAAGUCUUCGGAUGGAUAGAAGAACCCCUGAUGCCGUCGAGCCAAGAAAAGUUUCUAAGUUUAGCUAAUGUUGCCCGUACCGUAAACCGACACAGGUGGGUGGGAUGAGUAUUCUAAGGCGCGUGGAAGAACUCUCUUUAAGGAACUCUGCAAAAUAGCACCGUAUCUUCGGUAUAAGGUGUGCCUCCCUUUGUAUUAGAAUUCACUUCGAAAGCAAAGAAGGUUACAACAAAGAGUCCCUCCCGACUGUUUACCAAAAACACAGCACUCUGCUAACUCGUAAGAGGAUGUAUAGGGUGUGACGCCUGCCCGGUGCUCGAAGGUUAAUUGAUGGGGUUAGCAUUAGCGAAGCUCUUGAUCGAAGCCCGAGUAAACGGCGGCCGUAACUAUAACGGUCCUAAGGUAGCGAAAUUCCUUGUCGGUUAAAUACCGACCUGCAUGAAUGGCGUAACGAGAUGGGAGCUGUCUCAAAGAGGGAUCCAGUGAAAUUGUAGUGGAGGUGAAAAUUCCUCCUACCCGCGGCAAGACGGAAAGACCCCGUGGACCUUUACUACAGCUUGACACUGCUACUUGGAUAAGAAUGUGCAGGAUAGGUGGGAGGCUUUGAGUAUAUGACGCCAGUUGUAUAUGAGCCAUUGUUGAGAUACCACUCUUUCUUAUUUGGGUAGCUAACCAGCUUGAGUUAUCCUCAAGUGGGACAAUGUCUGGUGGGUAGUUUGACUGGGGCGGUCGCCUCCCAAAUAAUAACGGAGGCUUACAAAGGUUGGCUCAGAACGGUUGGAAAUCGUUCGUAGAGUAUAAAGGUAUAAGCCAGCUUAACUGCAAGACAUACAAGUCAAGCAGAGACGAAAGUCGGUCUUAGUGAUCCGGUGGUUCUGUGUGGAAGGGCCAUCGCUCAAAGGAUAAAAGGUACCCCGGGGAUAACAGGCUGAUCUCCCCCAAGAGCUCACAUCGACGGGGAGGUUUGGCACCUCGAUGUCGGCUCAUCGCAUCCUGGGGCUGGAGCAGGUCCCAAGGGUAUGGCUGUUCGCCAUUUAAAGCGGUACGCGAGCUGGGUUCAGAACGUCGUGAGACAGUUCGGUCCCUAUCUGCCGUGGGCGUAAGAAGAUUGAAGAGAUUUGACCCUAGUACGAGAGGACCGGGUUGAACAAACCACUGGUGUAGCUGUUGUUCUGCCAAGAGCAUCGCAGCGUAGCUAAGUUUGGAAAGGAUAAACGCUGAAAGCAUCUAAGCGUGAAGCCAACUCUAAGAUGAAUCUUCUCUAAGCUCUCUAGAAGACUACUAGUUUGAUAGGCUGGGUGUGUAAUGGAUGAAAGUCCUUUAGCUGACCAGUACUAAUAGAGCGUUUGGCUUAUCUUUAAUAAAGCAU